Molecule: ribosomal RNA, 2923 nt
Filed under: Shigella dysenteriae CDC 74-1112
Lineage: Bacteria; Pseudomonadati; Pseudomonadota; Gammaproteobacteria; Enterobacterales; Enterobacteriaceae
Description: LSU rRNA
Rfam family: Bacterial large subunit ribosomal RNA
Source: RNAcentral
GGUUAAGCGACUAAGCGUACACGGUGGAUGCCCUGGCAGUCAGAGGCGAUGAAGGACGUGCUAAUCUGCGAUAAGCGUCGGUAAGGUGAUAUGAACCGUUAUAACCGGCGAUUUCCGAAUGGGGAAACCCAGUGUGAUUCGUCACACUAUCAUUAACUGAAUCCAUAGGUUAAUGAGGCGAACCGGGGGAACUGAAACAUCUAAGUACCCCGAGGAAAAGAAAUCAACCGAGAUUCCCCCAGUAGCGGCGAGCGAACGGGGAGCAGCCCAGAGCCUGAAUCAGUGUGUGUGUUAGUGGAAGCGUCUGGAAAGGCGUGCGAUACAGGGUGACAGCCCCGUACACAAAAAUGCACAUAUUGUGAGCUCGAUGAGUAGGGCGGGACACGUGGUAUCCUGUCUGAAUAUGGGGGGACCAUCCUCCAAGGCUAAAUACUCCUGACUGACCGAUAGUGAACCAGUACCGUGAGGGAAAGGCGAAAAGAACCCCGGCGAGGGGAGUGAAAAAGAACCUGAAACCGUGUACGUACAAGCAGUGGGAGCACGCUUAGGCGUGUGACUGCGUACCUUUUGUAUAAUGGGUCAGCGACUUAUAUUCUGUAGCAAGGUUAACCGAAUAGGGGAGCCGAAGGGAAACCGAGUCUUAACUGGGCGUUAAGUUGCAGGGUAUAGACCCGAAACCCGGUGAUCUAGCCAUGGGCAGGUUGAAGGUUGGGUAACACUAACUGGAGGACCGAACCGACUAAUGUUGAAAAAUUAGCGGAUGACUUGUGGCUGGGGGUGAAAGGCCAAUCAAACCGGGAGAUAGCUGGUUCUCCCCGAAAGCUAUUUAGGUAGCGCCUCGUGAAUUCAUCUCCGGGGGUAGAGCACUGUUUCGGCAAGGGGGUCAUCCCGACUUACCAACCCGAUGCAAACUGCGAAUACCGGAGAAUGUUAUCACGGGAGACACACGGCGGGUGCUAACGUCCGUCGUGAAGAGGGAAACAACCCAGACCGCCAGCUAAGGUCCCAAAGUCAUGGUUAAGUGGGAAACGAUGUGGGAAGGCCCAGACAGCCAGGAUGUUGGCUUAGAAGCAGCCAUCAUUUAAAGAAAGCGUAAUAGCUCACUGGUCGAGUCGGCCUGCGCGGAAGAUGUAACGGGGCUAAACCAUGCACCGAAGCUGCGGCAGCGACACUAUGUGUUGUUGGGUAGGGGAGCGUUCUGUAAGCCUGUGAAGGUGUACUGUGAGGUAUGCUGGAGGUAUCAGAAGUGCGAAUGCUGACAUAAGUAACGAUAAAGCGGGUGAAAAGCCCGCUCGCCGGAAGACCAAGGGUUCCUGUCCAACGUUAAUCGGGGCAGGGUGAGUCGACUCCUAAGGCGAGGCCGAAAGGCGUAGUCGAUGGGAAACAGGUUAAUAUUCCUGUACUUGGUGUUACUGCGAAGGGGGGACGGAGAAGGCUAUGUUGGCCGGGCGACGGUUGUCCCGGUUUAAGCGUGUAGGCUGGUUUUCCAGGCAAAUCCGGAAAACUAAGGCUGAGGCGUGAUGACGAGGCACUACGGUGCUGAAGCAACAAAUGCCCUGCUUCCAGGAAAAGCCUCUAAGCAUCAGGUAACAUCAAAUCGUACCCCAAACCGACACAGGUGGUCAGGUAGAGAAUACCAAGGCGCUUGAGAGAACUCGGGUGAAGGAACUAGGCAAAAUGGUGCCGUAACUUCGGGAGAAGGCACGCUGAUAUGUAGGUGAAGUCCCUCGCGGAUGGAGCUGAAAUCAGUCGAAGAUACCAGCUGGCUGCAACUGUUUAUUAAAAACACAGCACUGUGCAAACACGAAAGUGGACGUAUACGGUGUGACGCCUGCCCGGUGCCGGAAGGUUAAUUGAUGGGGUCAGCGCAAGCGAAGCUCUUGAUCGAAGCCCCGGUAAACGGCGGCCGUAACUAUAACGGUCCUAAGGUAGCGAAAUUCCUUGUCGGGUAAGUUCCGACCUGCACGAAUGGCGUAAUGAUGGCCAGGCUGUCUCCACCCGAGACUCAGUGAAAUUGAACUCGCUGUGAAGAUGCAGUGUACCCGCGGCAAGACGGAAAGACCCCGUGAACCUUUACUAUAGCUUGACACUGAACAUUGAGCCUUGAUGUGUAGGAUAGGUGGGAGGCUUUGAAGUGUGGACGCCAGUCUGCAUGGAGCCGACCUUGAAAUACCACCCUUUAAUGUUUGAUGUUCUAACGUUGACCCGUAAUCCGGGUUGCGGACAGUGUCUGGUGGGUAGUUUGACUGGGGCGGUCUCCUCCUAAAGAGUAACGGAGGAGCACGAAGGUUGGCUAAUCCUGGUCGGACAUCAGGAGGUUAGUGCAAUGGCAUAAGCCAGCUUGACUGCGAGCGUGACGGCGCGAGCAGGUGCGAAAGCAGGUCAUAGUGAUCCGGUGGUUCUGAAUGGAAGGGCCAUCGCUCAACGGAUAAAAGGUACUCCGGGGAUAACAGGCUGAUACCGCCCAAGAGUUCAUAUCGACGGCGGUGUUUGGCACCUCGAUGUCGGCUCAUCACAUCCUGGGGCUGAAGUAGGUCCCAAGGGUAUGGCUGUUCGCCAUUUAAAGUGGUACGCGAGCUGGGUUUAGAACGUCGUGAGACAGUUCGGUCCCUAUCUGCCGUGGGCGCUGGAGAACUGAGGGGGGCUGCUCCUAGUACGAGAGGACCGGAGUGGACGCAUCACUGGUGUUCGGGUUGUCAUGCCAAUGGCACUGCCCGGUAGCUAAAUGCGGAAGAGAUAAGUGCUGAAAGCAUCUAAGCACGAAACUUGCCCCGAGAUGAGUUCUCCCUGACUCCUUGAGAGUCCUGAAGGAACGUUGAAGACGACGACGUUGAUAGGUCGGGUGUGUAAGCGCAGCGAUGCGUUGAGCUAACCGGUACUAAUGAACCGUGAGGCUUAACCUUACAACGCCGAAGGUGUUUUG